RNAcentral lists this ribosomal RNA (304 nucleotides) under Klebsiella pneumoniae. RNAcentral's name for it is "partial 23S ribosomal RNA". It matches the Rfam family "Bacterial large subunit ribosomal RNA", at positions 2061 to 2364 of the family's 2925-position model. Lineage: Bacteria; Pseudomonadati; Pseudomonadota; Gammaproteobacteria; Enterobacterales; Enterobacteriaceae. The record is from RNAcentral.
GCAGUGUACCCGCGGCAAGACGGAAAGACCCCGUGAACCUUUACUAUAGCUUGACACUGAACAUUGAGCCUUGAUGUGUAGGAUAGGUGGGAGGCUUUGAAGCGUGGACGCCAGUCUGCGUGGAGCCGACCUUGAAAUACCACCCUUUAAUGUUUGAUGUUCUAACGUUGGCCCCUGACCGGGGUUGCGGACAGUGUCUGGUGGGUAGUUUGACUGGGGCGGUCUCCUCCCAAAGCGUAACGGAGGAGCACGAAGGUUAGCUAAUCCUGGUCGGACAUCAGGAGGUUAGUGCAAUGGCAUAAGC